Molecule: ribosomal RNA, 447 nt
Filed under: uncultured bacterium
Lineage: Bacteria
Description: bacterial SSU rRNA
Rfam family: Bacterial small subunit ribosomal RNA
Source: RNAcentral
UGGGGAAUCUUGGACAAUGGGCGCAAGCCUGAUCCAGCCAUGCCGCGUGGAUGAUGAAGGCCUUAGGGUUGUAAAAUCCUUUCGUGGGGGACGAUAAUGACGGUACCCCAAGAAGAAGCUCCGGCUAACUUCGUGCCAGCAGCCGCGGUAAUACGAAGGGGGCUAGCGUUGUUCGGAUUUACUGGGCGUAAAGCGCGUGUAGGCGGGUCGUUAAGUUGGGGGUGAAAUCCCGAGGCUCAACCUCGGAACUGCCUUCAAAACUGGCGACCUGGACUCAAGCAGAGGCAAGUGGAAUUGCGAGUGUAGAGGUGAAAUUCGUAGAUAUUCGCAGGAACACCAGUGGCGAAGGCGACUUGCUGGGCUUGUAGUGACGCUGAGACGCGAAAGCGUGGGGAGCAAACAGGAUUAGAUACCCCCGUAGUCCCUGAGCGGGCUGGCAAGGCGCAU